RNAcentral lists this ribosomal RNA (318 nucleotides) under Triticum aestivum (bread wheat). Its description in RNAcentral is "partial small subunit ribosomal RNA". Lineage: Eukaryota; Viridiplantae; Streptophyta; Magnoliopsida; Poales; Poaceae. The record is from RNAcentral.
AUGAAUUACAUGUCCUUUACAGACUUGACCACCAGUGUAUUACUGAUGUGUAUCGAGCACCAUGAUAACAGCGAGAAAGCUCUGAAGUUCCUUAAGAGAUGGUACAGGAGUCCACUAGAGCUGACCAACAUCAAGCCCCUUCAACGACUCUGGGUACGAGGCCUUGGUCAGCGCGCCGGAGGGACACUUCCUAACCCUUCUCAUCAUGCUCCACCUGCAUGUCAGAAGUACCUAAGAGGGUGCGUGGUUGGCACGCUCGACGGCAACGCCCAUGCUACCAAGGAAGCAAUGAGGAUAGAUUCUUCCUUGCCGCAUUGA